Molecule: ribosomal RNA, 497 nt
Filed under: uncultured bacterium
Lineage: Bacteria
Description: partial 16S ribosomal RNA
Rfam family: Bacterial small subunit ribosomal RNA
Source: RNAcentral
GAUGAACGCUGGCGGCGUGCCUAAUACAUGCAAGUCGAGCGAACAGACGAGGAGCUUGCUCCUCUGACGUUAGCGGCGGACGGGUGAGUAACACGUGGAUAACCUACCUAUAAGACUGGGAUAACUUCGGGAAACCGGAGCUAAUACCGGAUAAUAUAUUGAACCGCAUGGUUCAAUAGUGAAAGACGGUUUUGCUGUCACUUAUAGAUGGAUCCGCGCCGCAUUAGCUAGUUGGUAAGGUAACAGCUUACCAAGGCAAUGAUGCGUAGCCGACCUGAGAGGGUGAUCGGCCACACUGGAACUGAGACACGGUCCAGACUCCUACGGGAGGCAGCAGUAGGGAAUCUUCCGCAAUGGGCGAAAGCCUGACGGAGCAACGCCGCGUGAGUGAUGAAGGUCUUCGGAUCGUAAAACUCUGUUAUUAGGGAAGAACAAAUGUGUAAGUAACUAUGCACGUCUUGACGGUACCUAAUCAGAAAGCCACGGCUAACUACGUG